Molecule: ribosomal RNA, 278 nt
Filed under: uncultured bacterium
Lineage: Bacteria
Description: partial 16S ribosomal RNA
Rfam family: Bacterial small subunit ribosomal RNA
Source: RNAcentral
CCUGCACCUGCCGGCGACCGGCGCACGGGUGAGUAACACGUAUGGAACCUGCCCGCCACAGGGGGAUAACCCGGGGAAACCCGGCCUAAUACCCCAUGCCGCCCGGACCGGGCAUCCGGUCCGGGCGAAAGGAGGAAUCCGGUGGCGGCUGGGCAUGCGGCGCAUUAGCUAGUUGGCGGGGUAACGGCCCACCAAGGCGACGAUGCGUAGGGGUUCUGAGAGGAAGGUCCCCCACACUGGUACUGAGACACGGACCAGACUCCUACGGAAGGCAGCAG